This 1126-nucleotide long non-coding RNA is filed under the name Oreochromis niloticus (Nile tilapia). RNAcentral describes it as "lncRNA (ENSONIG00000029765.1)". The record is from RNAcentral. Lineage: Eukaryota; Metazoa; Chordata; Actinopteri; Cichliformes; Cichlidae.
UUUUAUUUGCUCAUUUAAUGCCAAUUGCCCUCUUUCUCUGUUUGUCACUCAUUCGCUUAUACUUAGGGAAAAAGUACCAAUUUGUACACUGAUGAGUCUAGUGCAUUUUUUCCCCUCUAUCUCUCUAUGUCUCACACACACUGACCAACACACAGACAUGUAUAUGCUCAUUAAUGCUGUUUAAACUGAUGGUCAAAUUUCCAAGCACCACCUGAACGCCUCAUCUGUUUUCAACCCAUCACUGGACCAACUGUCGUCAUUCCGCUUUGCUCUCUGCUGUGGAACUUGACUGACAUCUGUGCUUUGCCUGGUAGGUGUGCACAUACUUGUGCAGAAGAAGAACAAGGACCAGAUCUCCAGUCUUCUCUCUCACAUCCCAACCCCCCAACCCCUCUAUCCUCUGUCCUACUCCACCUGUUGUCUCUGCCUUCUUUCCAUCUGUAUUUCACCCUGUGGUUUGUGAGAAAUUUUGCCAAACCAAGAAUCUUAUUGCGGUUUGAUUUCAAAGCCGUGUCUCUCCUGCUCUGUCUGUUCUCUCCGCUAAAUUUUCUCUCUACCUGUUUUUCACUCUUUGGCUUGCUGCUGAAAAAUGCACAAGCCAAUAAAGCAAUAAAGAGUGCAUAUUUUGCCUCAACCUAUGAACAAACUGAACAAACAAAGAAAACUCUAAUUCACGGUUAAUUGAGAUUUCCCAGCCGUGUCUUUCCUGCUCUGUCUGUUCUCUCUUCUAAAUUUUCUCUCUACCUGUUUUUCACUCUUGGCUUGCUGCUGAAAAAUGCCAAGCCAUUAAAGCAAUAAAGAGUGCAUAUUGCCUCUACCUGAGAACAAACUGAACAAACAAAGAAAACUCUAAUUCACGGUUUGAUUGUGAUUUCCCAGCCGUGUCUCUCCUGCUCUGCCUGUUCUCUCUUCUAGAUUUUCUCUCUACCUGUUUUUCAUUCUGGGCUUGCUGCUAAGUUGUGCCAAGCCAAUAAAGAGAGUGCAUAAUACUCUCUCGACUGAAGAACAAACUGUCAAACAAAGACAACUGUUUCUGAGAAAUAAAAACUAAAAUAUAAAAACAAAGACAACAUCUCCUGGUGUGUGCCACUCUUAUCUUGUGAACAUAUUUUCUGAAGACUAAGAA